Molecule: ribosomal RNA, 460 nt
Filed under: uncultured bacterium
Lineage: Bacteria
Description: partial 16S ribosomal RNA
Rfam family: Bacterial small subunit ribosomal RNA
Source: RNAcentral
CCUACGGGGGGCAGCAGUGAGGAAUAUUGGUCAAUGGGCGUAAGCCUGAACCAGCCAAGUCGCGUGAGGGAUGAAGGUUCUAUGGAUCGUAAACCUCUUUUAUAAGGGAAUAAAGUGUGGGACGUGUCCUGUUUUGUAUGUACCUUAUGAAUAAGGAUCGGCUAACUCCGUGCCAGCAGCCGCGGUAAUACGGAGGAUCCGAGCGUUAUCCGGAUUUAUUGGGUUUAAGGGGUGCGUAGGCGGCCUUUUAAGUCAGCGGUGAAAGUCUGUGGCUCAACCAUAGAAUUGCCGUUGAAACUGGGAGGCUUGAGUAUGUUUGAGGCAGGAGGAAUGCGUGGUGACGCGGUGAAAUGCUUAGAUAUCACGCAGAACCCCGAUUGCGAAGGCAGCCUGCCAAGCCAUGACUGACGCUGAUGCACGAAAGCGUGGGGAUCAAACAGGAUUAGAUACCCGUGUAGUC